GGGGGUGAACAGGUUCGACGUUAACUUGUUCCGCUGGAUCAGCAGGUCAUGGUUGACCAGGCCAUGUAAAACAGGGUCAAAAAAACAAAAGCCAACUCCAACGAGCUGGCCUGGGCGCACGCCUAAGUGUGCCUCGCUUACAGUCUGCCCGCCUGAGCGGGCUGUACUGCGUUAAAUUCAGGCUGCUGUCGCCGGGGGCGCGCUUCGUCCCGCGGCGGCUUAAGACAACACGGAGCUGGCCCGUUCCUUGCAGCCCCGGGUUUAGGGCGGGCGAGACAAAACCGGGGAUAAGCCUGUAGCGGUUCCAGCGAGCGGUUGACGGACCCGGGUGCGAAUCCCGGCACCUCCACCA
RNAcentral lists this transfer-messenger RNA (352 nucleotides) under Elusimicrobiales. RNAcentral describes it as "UBA9959 sp021812825 Standard tmRNA". It matches the Rfam family "transfer-messenger RNA". Rfam says of the family: Bacterial tmRNA, also known as 10Sa RNA or SsrA, is named for its dual tRNA and mRNA-like properties. The record is from RNAcentral. RNAcentral also lists the same sequence under 1 other name. Lineage: Bacteria; Pseudomonadati; Elusimicrobiota; Elusimicrobia.